This 410-nucleotide ribosomal RNA is filed under the name uncultured bacterium. Its description in RNAcentral is "bacterial SSU rRNA". It matches the Rfam family "Bacterial small subunit ribosomal RNA", at positions 355 to 775 of the family's 1533-position model. The record is from RNAcentral.
UCGAGGAUCUUCGGCAAUGGGCGCAAGCCUGACCGAGCGACGCCGCGUGUGGGAUGAAGGCCUUCGGGUUGUAAACCACUGUCGAGGGGGAGAAAGCCGCAAGGUUGAUCUAUCCCUGGAGGAAGCACGGGCUAAGUUCGUGCCAGCAGCCGCGGUAAGACGAACCGUGCGAACGUUGUUCGGAAUCACUGGGCUUAAAGGGCGCGUAGGCGGUACGCCAAGUCUGGGGUGAAAUCUUUCGGCUCAACCGGAAAAUGGCCUGAGAUACUGGCGUGCUCGAGGGAGGUAGGGGCAGCGGGAACUGCCGGUGGAGCGGUGAAAUGCGUUGAUAUCGGCAGGAACGCCGGUGGCGAAAGCGCGUUGCUGGACCUCUUCUGACGCUGAGGCGCGAAAGCUAGGGGAGCAAACGG